GACGAACGCUGGCGGCGUGCCUAAUACAUGCAAGUCGAGCGGAACUGGGGGAGCUUGCUCCUUCCAGUUUAGCGGCGGACGGGUGAGUAACACGUUGGCAACCUGCCCUCCAGAUCGGGAUAACUCCGGGAAACCGGUGCUAAUACCGAAUAGUCUGGCGCCUCUCCUGACGCGCUACGGACAGACGGUUGCGGCUGUCACUGCAGGAUGGGCCCGCGGCGCAUUAGCUAGUUGGUGGGGUAACGGCCACCAAGGCGACGAUGCGUAGCCGACCUGAGAGGGUGACCGGCCACACUGGGACUGAGACACGGCCCAGACUCCUACGGGAGGCAGCAGUAGGGAAUCUUCCGCAAUGGACGCAAGUCUGACGGAGCAACGCCGCGUGAGUGACGAAGGUUUUCGGAUCGUAAAACUCUGUUGUGAGGGAAGAACACGUACCAACUAACUAUUGGUACCUUGACGGUACCUCACCAGAAAGCCACGGCUAACUACGUGCCAGCCGCCGCGGUAA
This 511-nucleotide ribosomal RNA is filed under the name uncultured bacterium. Its description in RNAcentral is "partial 16S ribosomal RNA". It matches the Rfam family "Bacterial small subunit ribosomal RNA", at positions 28 to 523 of the family's 1533-position model. The record is from RNAcentral.